UUUGCAAGAAAUCCAUAUUUAUUAAAGUUUCAACCCUAAAGUAACAUCUAUAAAUCUAGCUAGCAAACUCUUUAUUAAUUACAUACUUUUACCACAUAUGUAUUUUCCAAAGUCCACGUACUUCUCAAACAUAUAUAUGUAGCGUAGGAGUAGAAAAUAAGCAUAUUUCACCAUCUCAAUCACUGUGAUAAGGGAAAAGACGUAGAAAAAAGUUUGAGCAUCCGUUUGGUUCGGAAUUAAGGAGUGGAAUAACUUCUUAACCCCGAAAUUAUUUCCAAACACCCAAUUUGGAGGGUGGGGUUAGCUAACCCCACCACAAAUGGGCUAUCUUGGGAUAGCGUAUUUAGGGUGGGGUAGCUAACCCCACUCCACCUCACUACUCCAACCAAACAAAAUAUUAUUUUAUCCACUAUCCUUCUUAUCUCAUCUAUUCAAACUAAACAUUAUUUUACCUAUACCUGGAUUAAACUCAAUUCUCAACCAAACAUAAAAUUACUCUAACCCCUCAAUUCUGAACUUAACUCUAUAUCGGGAAUAACAAGUUUUUACUUAACCCCGAAACAAACGGUGGCUCAGAGUUUAUUCCAAUACCUUUUUUGCGCUUCCCUAUUGCCGGACAUAUAGCUGGUUUCUGCAGAUCUCUUUAAUAGGUACGAGCCCCUCUUCGUGGUUGCCCCUUCCUGGGUAUUGGGUUCGCUGGCGAUCCGAUGUCAUCAGCGCGUGGAAAUCGGUUGUCCGCGGCUUCUCUAAUUGGCUCGUUUGUUGAUGCACGCCUCUCGUGAUCUUGGUUGAUCCUUCCUCGGUUCGCCUGCGAUCCAACAACAUCGACGCUGGGACGAAGUCUAUGAUCUUGGUUCAUCCGUGAUGUGACGUCUGCAUCUUGACCUCCGUUCUUUGCGCUGUCGUCUUUCUUGUGAGCUUUCUUUAUCGGAGUAGAGGAGGGCAUGUAGUCUGCUGCUGUGCUGCUGAUGGGAUAAUCCGGAUCAGCUUUCGCCUCUUGUUUGACCUUUUCACUCUUUUUGUCAGCUUCUUCUCUUGCAGUAUCAAACUUUCCAGGUUCCUGAGGUGAGGGCUUAUUAUCACCUGCUGCGCCUGGUGUUUUCACUCCAUUCAUCGCCGAGCUCGGAGGUCCGUUCAUUGCCGGGCUUGGAAGUUGUCCCGAAGCUGGCGGCACUUGCACGGUGUGGCUGCUUGGCGGCUUGGCCUCCGGUUGGCUGGCAGGAGUUCCAUCAUCAGCGUCAUCACCCCCACAACAGAGGAACUUCAGACACAUACUAGUGUAAUACCUCUCUCUCUCUCUCUCUCUCUCUCUCUACCCAAGUUAAGGGAGUUUUGAGGUUAGUAUUAUGAUAUUAAAGCGUUUAAUUAUGGAUAAGAACGGGUGGCAUAUAUGCACCAUAAUGCUUUGCGUGGAAUCUAAUUCUGCGUUAGCUUCGUCUUAAAGCUGGUAAACCGCGUUGAAAGUCAGUCUCCCAUUAAUGAGAUGCCCUAAUGAUUGAGUCAUAAAGCCAAUGAUUAUUAUUUGAUUACAUAUUUACUCGGUUGGUAGGGCUGUCAAUAAGCUCAUGUUGGCUGUCAAUAAGCUAAACAUGAGCGAGCUGGCCAAACCUAGUACGAGCCAACUCAUUAAAAUAUCGAGUCAAAAAAUUUAAAUGUGUAUAAGCAGUCCGUGGAUUUGAACUCAUAAUCGUUCGUUAAUAAACGAGGUGAACGCGAGUUGACUCACAAAUAACAAGUUAAAAAAGAUUAGAAAAAAAAUAUAUAUAGAAAAUAAACUUCUGAAAUUUUAUCUAUUAAAUUUUGAUCAGACGGUUGAAAUUUUAUAUAUAAUGAAUCUUUUUAUAAUUGAGUUAGGCUUUAUAUCUAGGUUGGACUAAAAAUUAAAUAAUAAAAAUAUGUAUUAUAUAUAUAUAAUAAUUAAGUUAUAUAAAUAUAAAAUAUAUGUAUUUGUGUUGUUACCAACUCGAACACAAGCGAGCUAACUCUAGCUCGUGUUAGGCUCGUUUAUUAAACGAGCUGAAAAAUUCACCUCAUAUUCGGCUUGUUUACUACACGAACGAUUCAUUCUCAAACUCUUUUCGAACAGAACAUGACUUGGCUCGGGAAUAGCGAGCUGAAUUACUACCCCUAACGGUAGGGGUUGGGAAUAAUUAAGAGACAAAAAUUAGGCCGAUUUACCAAAUUAGCUAUUUGAGGAAAAAGUUUAUAAUGCACCUGUUAUGGUGCUGAUAUAGCAUUCUCAAUUAAUCAGAUUGUUUUUCUUAAUUAGUUCAUCCAUUCCAUGAUUAUUAGUAAAAUAUUUUUAUUAUAUUUUUCUCUAAAAAAUUGAUAUGGUAUAAUUAAUUACAUAGUAGACUUCCUCCUAUUUGAAAAUGUGGGAUCGACUUUGAGGUAGAAAUAUAGGGGCAAAUUGGGAAGGCAUUUGAAAUUUAUAUUUUUUAAAAAUUAUUAUCUAAUUCAAAAUAUUUUUUAGACUCAUUAACUCAAAAGUAACAACUUUUAUAAAAAUAAAAAAUAUAUAAUCUUAACUCAAAAUAUAUANNNNNNNNNNNNNNNNNNNNNNNNNCACUCGCCUCUGCCUGCUCAGGCAUCUCGGGAGAUCUAGCACGAUCCUGCGCCAACUGCGCACGCUCCCGCAACGACGGUCGGCCUCGGCGACGAUACAUAGCUGAAAAGAACAAAUCGGGGUCAGAUACAACAAAACACUCUCGACCCAAUCAAACGAAAGUCUAGAAGGCAGCCCCUGUUUCUCCUCGAAAUUAUGUCGUCUGCAGCCAACAUAAUUUCUCAGGCCAAAACAGAAACUCCUUCAGUCACUCACUCUACUCCAAGAGGAAUUAAAACAUAUAAUCAUUGACUUUCGCAAUAAAAUUACGCCUCUCACGUCUUGCUUCCCUAAGGUUUGCCAAACUUAGGUUUCCUAGGUCCCAACGACCUACAGCAAAGCUCUGAUACCAACUUAAUCUGUCACGCCCCGGACUACACGUUCCCCGGCCACGCCGACAAAUCCGCCGUAUACAAAGAAAUUUUCCCUGUAUACGAAGCGAUAGCUGUACCUGUAAAUCAAACACUACUACGAACAGUAGUAGAGAGCUGCUAGAGAAAAACUGAAGCUAAAUAAAACAGAGUUUCAUAUACAUAGUUCAGAUCCAAAAUACAGAGCUACUCGCACUGGCGAGUUAAGUCACUAUGUACAUAAUCUCGAAACCAAACCUCUACCUGCAGUAGGGCACCUCUAGCUCAGCACGUCGGGUAGGGCUCUAACUCGCGACGCCCUUGCCUCGAUCCUGGUCCGCAGUCGGUGCAGCAGCCGGAACCUGUGGCUCUGCAAAAACAUAGGUAACAACUGGGCGUGAGAACUACUGUAAAAACAAGUAGUUCUCAGUGGGUACCGCCCAAAACAACAUCGGUCACCUACUAAGUCUACAGAAGGGAGCAAGGAUAGAAGGAAAGCAGGAAGCAUACUCUACCACUAUCAUCCACUACACUAUCAUGCUCUACACUAACCAAUUGUAGGAAAUAUCAAAUCUGAUCCAAUCCAAUCGGGACUGCAAACAUACCCGUCCCCGGGACUGUGAAUACACCCGUCCCUGCCCCGUUGCGACUAUCCAGCUCAAUCCACACUAACUGGUCCGUGGAGAGCAAGUCCAACUGGCAUGAGCGACACCAACGCAAAAGCACAAGCCCAACUCCGGAGUGGCACUCGUGGGCGCUACCCAACCGAGUAUGCAGCGUAUCUCUGUCGAGCUCAAUCAGGCUCCAACUAGCCAAAGUCAAGUAAUCGACUCAAAUUGAUCUAACAAUCACUCAGGUAACGUGCCCUCGGCACAAUCUGACGCCAAAAAGGCGAUACGGGUUCACCGUCAACUCUGACGGCACCCAACAGUCCGAAACGACCUGAUCGACCCUGUAAAAAUCCACUCGGCGAACCAGCACGAGUGUAAAUACAUUCUCAACUACCUGGAGUACUCGUCUCGAAGAAACUGCGACAGUACAAUUUUCUAACGGCUUCUAGAGCUAAAUCAGGUAGUUAAAACUGGUGACAGGUCCAAAUCGCAGGUUUUCUCCUAAUUCAAUUUCCAAGUCCAACAUGUAUAAACUAAUUAAUUAUAAAGCAUGCUCAAAAUUCAGUUCUCACAUUCAAGCACAUAAUCCAUGGAUUUGAGCUAAACUAAAUUACCAAAAAUUCAGAUCUAUACAUGUCGACGAUUAUGAACUUAGGAGUCGAAACCGAUGUAACCCACCUCAAGUGCAAUUUCCUGGCAGCGAACUCAGCCUCGGCCACCCGCGAUGCUGCUGGAUUCCUCAGGGACCACCUAGACCGGUCGCCGAGCUAAAACGACCAAAACAUCACAAAUCAGCCUAAGUUCACAGCAGCUGAAAGAGACCAAGUUUCGACCAAGCUAACCUCGUCCAAAAAUUGCAAGUGAGGGCUCCGUGGAAUCCUCUCGCAGUCUAGAAUCCAAUGAACCAAGUUUCGUCGCGAUCCGACGCUCCUACGCGGAGAACGAGCCGAAAUACUAACAGUCGACGGUAGAUUCUGCGAAAACAGCACUUAAGCUCACAUCAACGAUACCCGAAGUACUCGGAGCAAUUGCGACCAAAAUGCUCACCUCAACAGCGACAACCCUCGGCGCGAUGUCCAGGACAGCGAAGACGCACCCUCGCCCGGCCUCCUCGCAAUGCCCCGGCAACAAACGCUCGCUCGAACGGCUCGCGGCGCGACGUCGGCGAAUCCCCGGCUCAACCGUGCUCCACCUCCACCAAGCCUAGAGAGAGAGAGAAAGAAGAAAGCACAAAAGCCUUCUCUCUCUUCCUCUGUUCGGUUUCCAACUGAUAUAGAGAGGAAGGGAAGGAAUCGUUACAAACGAGGUAGAAAAUUACGGAUUUAGCCCUUACCAACUCCCUUGUACCGGUACACGGAUUGCUGUACCGGUACAAGGCCAAACCCGAGAGCAACUGAGUUCUGUCGCUCGCUCUGUACCGGUACAAAUGGACCCUUGUACCGGUACAACAAGCGACUUCCCAUGAAGGUUGUACCGGUACAGCACAAACCUUGUACCGGUACAGCAGAGUAAAAAUCCUGCAAUUUCGCAGAUUUUCACACAGAAUGCUGCCCUCGCGUCGCACGGAGUCCGUCUCGCGUCUAUUUGACGCCAACGCGACUCGGGCUUGUCUCGACACUCUCCAGAGUUGUCGACAAGUCCCCACUGACAGAAACCGGGGUCUCACAGAAAGAAAGUGAAAAGUUUUUUUAGAGGUGAGGUAUUUUUGUUGUUGUUGUUGUUAUUAAUUCGUUAUCUGUAUUUUUGUAUCUGUGUAAUACUUAAAUUUUUUUUAAACUUAUCUAAAUAUUUUUUUUAUUUUUUUAAUGUUUCUUUUUAGUUUUUUAAAAAAAUUUAUCACAAGAUUGGAGAAAAAGUUGAGCUUAGGGGUGAUAAGACCAGAUGGUGCUUAUCUCACUGUUUCGAUCCUUGUCGACGUGGCUCUGCGAAUGAACAAGUAAAAUUUUUCUACCCUCUUCUACCUAUAUAUUUUGGAUAUUUAAAUAAAAAAUAUUCUUUAUUUAAAAAUAUAAAAGUAAAAUUAUAUAAAAAUAAUAAUUUAUAUUUAUUCUCGUUAUGUAUUUUGCAUUUUAUUUGUUAUGUAUUUUACAUUUUAUUUGUUUUUUAAUUGUUUAGGUGGCCGGUUCCGAGGGCUCGUCAAAUUCACAAAACAAGACGGCAGGGAUAAAUAACAGUAUCAUUAUGUGGCGGAGAUGGAGAUGGACUUUUUUUUAAUUUUUGUUUCACUUUAUGGACUUUUAGUAUAAAUUCUUUUUUUAUUUAAAAAUAUUAUGAUUUAUGUUUUCUGAUUAUAUUUGGAUUAUGUUAUUUAAUGACUNGCUUCUGUUUUUCGGCACGUCCUUACCCUCGCCCGCGCACCCCCGCCUUCCUCGCCUCCGACAUCGAGACCGUGCUGUGAUUUUUUUUCCCCUCUCCGACCCUCCUCCACCACCUCCGACGAUAACGCUUCUCUCGCCCUUCCCUGCUUUUUCUCGCCCUUUCCCUCUCCCUCCACCUUCGUUUCCUUUGCCACUUCCGCGACAACACCUCUCUAUUGACGCCGACGCUACGAAGGUCGCUGUGACGCCGCAGUUUCGAAGCGGGAAGUCCUUAGCGACAUCAUUGCCGGCACAGUGGUCGUUAGCGGAGAAGUAUGACAAAAAAAAAUUGUAGAAAAAGAAAUAAUAAAAAAAUAAAGAAAAAAAAUAGAAGAAGAAAGAAGAAGAUAAAAUUGCACUGCUUUAAAAAAAAAAAUGCACUGUUUUAAAAUUUUUUGCACUGUUUUAAAUGAAAGUUACACUCUUUGAAAAAAAUUACACUCUUUGAAAUCAAAUUGCACUAUUUAGAAUAAAGUUGCAAUAUUUUGACAAAAUUUACACUAUUUUUUUUCUACUUUUCACACUAUUUCUCUUCCAUUCUUCUUCCUCUUUCUCCUUCCUCCCAUCCUCAUCCUCAUCCUCCACCCCACCUCCAGAGAAGAGGGUUGGAGUGGUGGUGGUAGCGCAGAAGCGAGCGCACGUCGUCGGGGAACCCCGUGGCGCGCAUCCGUCAUGACCACGCCACUGGCUCCUCCUCCACCGCCACCGUCCUCCAUGCUCGCCGCGUGCGCCCGCGCGCAGCUCCCCGCCACCGCACGCUCUCUGCCCGCAGCCCUCCUUUUCGCCGUCGCGGCCGACUUCGCCGCGUCGCGCAGCUGGUCCAGGACCUCUGCAAGAAACACGACCUGCAGUACUCCUUCUCCUCCUGGGACGCCAACCGCCGCACCCUCGCCACCCUCCGCGCCACCGCGCUGCAGGCGCGCGACCUCGCCAACCCCUCGCCGAGGAAUUUGCUCUGGGAGGCUGUCAACACGCAUGGCUAGCAGAAUAGUCUGUUCGAUUUGCUUUUGCUGCUUUAAUUAGGUGGUAUAAUUCACUAUUCAUUCAUUGAUUCGCGUUAAUUGGUUAGUCUACUCUUUGCACUCACAAUCUGUUGUUUACUUAUCAUACUUUUGUUUUUUUUUUUCCCUUACAAUUGUAGCUGCCAUACAAAAUUAAACAGAGUUGUAUUAACCAUGCAUUCAUAGUACAGGCCCUCCAACCCCGACGACGUGCGCUCGCUCCAACCCUCUUCUCUGGAGGUGGACGAUAAGGAUGAGGAUGAGAGGAAGGAGAAAGAGGAAGAAGAAUGGAAGAGAAAUAGUGUGAAAAAUAGAAACAGAAAUAGUGUAAAUUCUGUCAAAAUAGUACAACUUUGUUCUAAAUAGUGUAAUUUGAUUUUAAAGAGUGUAAUUUUUUUUCAAAGAGUGCAACUUUCAUUUAAAAUAGUGCAAAAUUUUUUAAAACAAUGCAAUUUUUUUUUAAACAGUGCAAUUUCAUCUUCUUCUUCCUUCUUCUAUUUUUUUUGUCUUUAUUUUUUUUUAUUUUUUUUUCUAUAAUUUUUUUUUGUCAUACUUCUCCGCCAACAACCACUGCGCCGGCGAUAACGUCGUUAAUGACU
This 7523-nucleotide long non-coding RNA is filed under the name Ananas comosus (pineapple). RNAcentral describes it as "long non-coding RNA (ACOM_LNC019418)". The record is from RNAcentral. Lineage: Eukaryota; Viridiplantae; Streptophyta; Magnoliopsida; Poales; Bromeliaceae.